AACGAACGCUGGCGGCAUGCCUAACACAUGCAAGUCGAACGCUUCACCGGGGCUUGCCCUGGUGGGGAGUGGCGCACGGGUGAGUAGCGCGUGGGAACCUGUCCUGUUGUGGGGGAUAACCGAGGGAAACUUCGGCUAAUACCGCAUGCGCCCCGGGGCAACCCGGGGGAAAGAUUUAUCGCAGCAGGAGGGGCCCGCGUCGGAUUAGCUAGUUGGCGGGGUAACGGCCCACCAAGGCAGUGAUCCGUAGCUGGUCUGAGAGGAUGAUCA
This 270-nucleotide ribosomal RNA is filed under the name uncultured bacterium. RNAcentral's name for it is "partial 16S ribosomal RNA". It matches the Rfam family "Bacterial small subunit ribosomal RNA", at positions 28 to 306 of the family's 1533-position model. The record is from RNAcentral.